Molecule: transfer RNA, 72 nt
Filed under: Camelus bactrianus (Bactrian camel)
Lineage: Eukaryota; Metazoa; Chordata; Mammalia; Artiodactyla; Camelidae
Also listed under: 3 other names
Rfam family: tRNA
About the family: Transfer RNA (tRNA) molecules are approximately 80 nucleotides in length. Their secondary structure includes four short double-helical elements and three loops (D, anti-codon, and T loops). Further hydrogen bonds mediate the characteristic L-shaped molecular structure. tRNAs have two regions of fundamental functional importance: the anti-codon, which is responsible for specific mRNA codon recognition, and the 3' end, to which the tRNAs corresponding amino acid is attached (by aminoacyl-tRNA synthetases). tRNAs cope with the degeneracy of the genetic code in two manners: having more than one tRNA (with a specific anti-codon) for a particular amino acid; and 'wobble' base-pairing, i.e. permitting non-standard base-pairing at the 3rd anti-codon position.
Source: Rfam by way of RNAcentral
AAGGGUAUAGCUCAGUGGUAGAGCACAUGCUUACGAUGCAUCAGGUCCUGGAUUCAAUCCCCAGGACCUCCA